GGCGGGCCAACACAUGCAAGUCGAGCGAGAAAGGGGCUUCGGCCCUGAGUAAAGCGGCGGACGGGUGAGUAACACGUAGGUAAUCUUCCCUUGAGCGGGGGACAACGAUUCGAAAGGAUCGCUAAUACCGCAUAAGUUCACCAGAACCUCGGUUUUGGUGAGGAAAGCUAGGUAGCAAUAUCCGGCACUCGAGGAGGAGCCUGCGUCGCAUCAGCUAGUUGGUGGGGUAAUGGCCUACCAAGGCGAAGACGCGUAGCUGGUCUGAGAGGAUGAUCAGCCACACUGGGACUGAGACACGGCCCAGACUCCUACGGGAGGCAGCAGUGGGGAAUAUAGGACAAUGGGCGCAAGCCUGAUCCAGCCACGCCGCGUGAGUGAUGAAGGCCUUCGGGUCGUAAAGCUCUGUGGGGGGGGACGAACCGCUGGUGGUGCAUAGCGACCAGCAUGACGGAACCACCUUAGCCAGCACCGGCUAACUUCGUGCCAGCAGCCGCAGUAAUACGAACGAUGCAAACGUAGCUCGGAAUCAUCGGGCGU
This 537-nucleotide ribosomal RNA is filed under the name uncultured delta proteobacterium. Its description in RNAcentral is "bacterial SSU rRNA". It matches the Rfam family "Bacterial small subunit ribosomal RNA", at positions 41 to 561 of the family's 1533-position model. The record is from RNAcentral. Lineage: Bacteria; Deltaproteobacteria.